CUGGAGUGGAGGUCACUUGAGGUGUGCCUGGCACCGGCCACAAUGUGAAAAUAACACAGCACAAGCUCCGGUAAUUAUUAGCCGUCUGAUCUGGGGCAAGAUGCUUCGCUUGAAACCUCGGAGUUUUCAUACAUAAAAAUGGGAUGAAUAUCUGCUUUUCAGGGUUGCCAGAAGGAUUAAGUGAGAUGCGUUCAAUUGCUUAGCGUAGUGCCUUACACACAUGGGCCACAAAUAAUUUCCCUUCUAAGGAUUAAUAUUUAGAUGGUUUUAUUUCUCCCAGAAGGCCUAUGAGAGGAAAAGUAAAAAGUUCCAGCUUUUCAAGUUUUCCAAGCCUAUAUAUUUUUUUUCUCCAACAUAUACUCUUAGAAAAAAAUCAAAAUACAAAACUUGAAAGAAAAAAAAGUUACUGUGUUUCUCCUUAUCCCUGCUUUUUGCUUUGCAGUUUUAGUUACCCAAGGCCGACACUGGUCUGUAGGCAGAGGGUCCUUCUUGUGACUUAUUGUGACAGGGGCAAUCUCCAUCACAAUGCCUGCGUCACCCCCCUCACUCCCUCCCUCCGUCUCAUCACCGAGGCGUUUUAUCAUCUCGUGUCAUUGCAAGUAGAAGGUUGAGCUCCUGGCACGGACCAACCACUAUUCUAGGAACUAUGGAGGCAAACAUAAGACAGAUAUUCUCCACGUUUAGAAGACAGACAGCCUUCAGCUGGACCACCUUCCUUUGCCAUGACUUGGUGUGCUGAGUAUACAAGCUUAUCUUAACAUCAGUAGGAG
Leopardus geoffroyi (Geoffroy's cat) is the source of this 770-nucleotide long non-coding RNA. RefSeq lists it as uncharacterized. The transcript is spliced from 3 exons. Lineage: Eukaryota; Metazoa; Chordata; Mammalia; Carnivora; Felidae. The record is from RefSeq and is a predicted model, not a curated record.